This 502-nucleotide ribosomal RNA is filed under the name uncultured Eubacteriales bacterium. RNAcentral describes it as "uncultured Clostridiales bacterium partial 16S ribosomal RNA". The record is from RNAcentral. Lineage: Bacteria; Bacillati; Bacillota; Clostridia; Eubacteriales.
CACGUAGUUAGCCGGGGCUUCUUAGUCAGGUACCGUCAUUUUCUUCCCUGCUGAUGGAAGUUUACAUACCGAAAUACUUCUUCCUUCACGCGGCGUCGCUGCAUCAGGGUUUCCCCCAUUGUGCAAUAUUCCCCACUGCUGCCUCCCGUAGGAGUUUGGGCCGUGUCUCAGUCCCAAUGUGGCCGUUCACCCUCUCAGGCCGGCUACUGAUCGUCGCCUUGGUGAGCCCUUACCUCACCAACCAGCUAAUCAGACGCGGGUCCAUCUCAUACCACCGGAGUUUUUCACACCGUCCCAUGCGAGACCGUGCGCUUAUGCGGUAUUAGCAGUCAUUUCUAACUGUUAUCCCCCUGUAUGAGGCAGGUUACCCACGCGUUACUCACCCGUCCGCCACUCAGUCAAAUAAGACUUCAAACCGAAGUAAUCCGUCUUAAGUGACUUCGUUCGACUUGCAUGUGUUAAGCACGCCGCCAGCGUUCAUCCUGAGCCAGGAUCAAACUCU